Long non-coding RNA from Aedes albopictus (Asian tiger mosquito), 2071 nucleotides. RefSeq lists it as uncharacterized. Lineage: Eukaryota; Metazoa; Arthropoda; Insecta; Diptera; Culicidae. The transcript is spliced from 2 exons. The record is from RefSeq and is a predicted model, not a curated record.
AAAGAAUGCUAUCGGGCGACGGACUCCUUCUUGGUAUUGAACCAGGACUGCUCCUGCAGCGACGGCUGACGCAUCGGAUUCUAUCACGAACUGCUGGCUAAAAUCUGGAUUAGCAAGCACUGGUGGCGACGUCUGACGGAUUACCCGACUUCACGAAUAUUCGCCCGAUUAUCCGACGAACGAUGUAAAUAUCUACAAUACCGACGAUUUCUAAGCGUAUCCCAAUUCAAUUCAUGUGAGUACUAAUCUACAAACGAGUUCCUAGAAUAAGCCAAAUCCUUCGCAUGCACCGUCAAAGAAAAAAAAAAAAACUUCAAACUCAAUUUAAAAAAAACCUAUAAUUUGUUCGCACGCCCUAAAUUUUCAAAAGGCCCCACGUUGGGCGCCAGAAUGUAACGGUUCAGAUUUAGGUUGGAUUCGACUUUGGUUUUUACCUCAACUGACUUCACUUAAGCGCCAAGCAGACGAUCAAUCGUGUGCUUGUGAAGCAGCAAUAUCCAAUGCCCAGCGAGACUCAGGGCGAGUCCAUCAAACACGUGAAAACUGAAUUCGAACCGACCUAUCUCACCACAACCCGACCCCACGAAAGGCAAAAAUCAAAAUUAGAGAAACGAACUGAAUUUCAUCAAAAGUCUUUCGUCAUCUAAGGUAAACUCGCAAACAUUCAAAUUUUACAGUGUAUUGAACCCUUGUUCCUAUCCUCCUAAAUUCCAAUAGGAAUUCUCAUGCGCACGGCCGUGCUAUUACUUGGUCCCUUAUGUGUUCGUAGGUAGUCACAUACAAAUACGCUCAGUUCACUACUAGGCUCUUAAGCUAAUCUGACCUUGAUAUAUCGGUUGACUCGAGCUCAGGCGACGUCCAACGGUGGUGGUGAUGGUGAUGGAGACGCAGGGUCGAUGGUGAGGCAGCGGAGCGCUGCAGUAUUGGUAGAGUGCUGUCGGACACGAUGCUGGCAGUGGUGCGUGUCCUGGCUUUUGGAGUCUAUGCCGACACACGCAUGCAAGUUCGAUUGGACUACGAACCGCCAACUGUCUCGAGGCUAUGUGUGUGAAUGCCGCUGGUGAUUGGCUUCCAGACGGUUAUUCUCGGGAGUCGUGGAGAUCUCCCAGGCCCGUAGGUGCGACGGUGGGUCACUGGCCGGACAACGAGGCCUAUAGCCUACAAGCCGCCAAGCUUCUGGAUCCACCCAGAAGAUUCGUAGUGGUCGAAUCUCCCUACAACCUACCUCCGGUUCUAGAACCCGGCAGGAACACCUUCGCGUGAAGGAUGGGGUUCCUUCACGAGAAAAAGAAGAAAGCACAUACACGAAAAGAUUAGCACCCAUCAUCUACAUCGACAGCACAAAUUAUCCACUGAGCAUACAAUAGUACAAACAAUUACCUGAGCCUCGAGCAGCCGAUUCAAGGGAUUUUAGCUGGAAUGAUGACGUCAGCAACUAUCUUAAAGAUCUACAAAGUACACAUAUCACAUUAAAGACUCUACAGCAUCAUGAUGGCGGUUGUGAUGCACUUACAGUGGAAAUCUACGAUUUCUUGCACUUGGGCCUAUAUUAGCUUCCACAAUUUUUUUAAGAUUCCGAUUUCUAAAAUAAUUUAGGAUAUUACAAUAUUUUCAACAGAAUCACUACUGACCCUUUUUUAACUCACAGAACGUUUUCAAACGGCUAACAGUCACUUCAACUUUUUCAAAAAAACUUCCACUGAACAAUUUUGGACCACGUCCGCUUUGUAUCACCGUUUGAUUCGGAAAGACUCUUGAUAAGAUUUUUUUGUCCUUUGGAUAAUAGAUUAUUACAUAAUAGAUGAUUAUACACAAUGCAUAAUCCGUUAAAAUAACUCAUCAGUCUGAAGAACUGAAUCUAAGAAAUUGAGUGAGUUCAUAGCUGCUUUGAGAUAGGAGAUGGGUGGUUUCAAUAUCGACCACCGAGCGGCGCUAUCGUCGUAUAAAAUAUGGCUUGAAUAUGUCUGCUUCGUUUAGGGUACGAUUUAGAUCUGACUUUUCAUGGCGAAAAGAUAAUCAAUCGAGAUUAUUGAAACGAGCAAUUAAUUGUAAUAUUGUAACCACGUUACAA